RNAcentral lists this long non-coding RNA (296 nucleotides) under Homo sapiens (human). Its description in RNAcentral is "non-protein coding lnc-C9orf92-4:2". Lineage: Eukaryota; Metazoa; Chordata; Mammalia; Primates; Hominidae. The record is from RNAcentral.
GCCAAUAUUUUAUACCUGCUUCAAGAAAACAUUAUUUAUAUUGUAUAAGAUGAGGUUUAAAAUGCCUGUCUAUAUUUUUUGAAGGGUCUCUUUAAAAGAAAUUAUCUAUUCAUAAUUGAAAUUCUCCAGGCAAAUCAGUUAUCAGCAUUUUCAACAGAACAGCUGGUCUCAAACUCCUGACCUCAGGUGAUCCACCCGUCUUGGACUUCCAAAGUGCUGGGAUUACAGGCGUGAGCCACUGCACCCGGCUGAAAGUUGCUAUGAUUUCUAAGCCAUCCGUUGCACACUGGUAAACU